UCCCUAACCCACCUAACCCUACUUCAUUUGCAUAGAGACGCCGCCCUUGAAACCCUUCGUCUCUCAAACUCUCUCCAGCCUCUCCGAAACCGUAAUUGAUUUCCACCUUAUCUCACCUCAUUUCCACCAGAAUCCAUGGCAUCUCCAGCCAUGGAUGGCCAGCACUCACCCUUUCUUACUAUCAGACCUAAGCUACUCAAAGUUUGGAGACUGGACCUCGAUGGUUUUUCUUCAGAUCCUUCUUAAAUCUGUAGAUCCAUGGUUUCUCCGGCCACGCUCAGGCAUAUUCAAGCAUUAGAGACCUGAUUUGUGACCUGCUCGACACAGGAUCUGAUGUCUUCCAAGCCUUUCUCGUUUCUAGGGUUUAUCUGAACCAUAAGUUAAUCGAGGUUAUUUCUUUGUUUGUUUGCUUAGAUCUAUGCUGAAUCCAUGCUAUACUUGACAUUUUUAAGUGAUUUCCCUAAGUUUUCUUUUCAAGAUUGUUUGACUUCAAUUUAGGGUUUCUGCAAUGUUUUUAGAAAAAAUAUCUUUUGGUUUUUCUUUUGCUUUCCUUUAUCCAUGUUUGUUCAUAUCAUGUUUGUAUGACUUCUUUACUACGCAUGUACUGUUCUUCUACUUUCCUUUUAUUAGUGUGCUUACAUGUUAAUCUGUGUUAGGUUUUCCUUACUCUUCUACUUUAUGUGUUUACCAUUGAGUUCCUCGAUUUUUUUUUGCUUUCCUGAACUAUGUUUGUGUUCUUGCUAAGCAUAUUUCAUCUAUUCUGUUUAAGGCAGUAUCCUUUCUCUCUCAUGAACUUGCCUAAGUUACGAGUUUUCUAAAAUGUGUCCUUUUGCGCUCUCAAAUCGAUUUUCUUUAUCCUAUCUUUUCAAACCUGCUAUCAUAUUUUGUUCUAUUUCUCAUGAGGCUCUGAAACAGAUCUAUGAGUGUGUUUUCAUUCACUUGCUUUCUCAUCUCUAUAUUUGAUUCGAUUCGAAAACUUAGAAUUUGGGGGUUUGUUCGAAAGUUGAAUUAGGGUUCCACUUUGGGACCCCAGACCUUCAGACUCACUAUGAGUCUGCAAAUUGAACCUGUAUGUCUUUGCUUAUGAUACUGAAAUUCUCUUCGAUUAAACUAUGUUCUAAGUAAUUUGACUUUCUCUUCUUUAUUCACAUGUUUGCGUGUUUUAUAUGUGAGAAAACUCCUCUUUCAAAAAGUUUUAAUAAUUAAUUUAUUCGUUCUGAAUUCCUUUGAUGGGGUUUUGACUGAUUCCCACUGAUUUUCUUUGGUUUAAUCCUCCUCUACCUAUUCCUGACUUGGUUCAUUCGAAUUGAAACUGAUACCUUGACUUUUUUUAGUUGUCUGAUUGAUUCCCUUUCCUUUUUUUACAAAUCAAGUGUCGUUGAAUUCUUUCCUUAAAUAAACCUUAUGUGUUUCCCUUCUUAUGCUACUAUGAAAGAUUUUACUCAAAUUUUAUUUCCCUAUUUACAUUCUCGCGUUUGAAAUCAAAUCCCUUAACUGAAGGGACAAUAUGUGAGACUGAUUUUUAAAGAGUUUUCUUACCUUUCUUACUUUUUUCUACACCAUAAAAGGGGAUGCCUUUCUACACUUCCGACACGAUCAAUUUUGAAUACUUUCACACUACUUCCAAUUGAAUACUUUUAUUUCCUCACACAAACACUCGAGCUCUUACUCUGAACUCACACACACACACAAAAUGUUCUCUCUGAUUGUGACUUGUUUUCAAGAGUCCUGCUUUCUUUGCUUAUCUUUCUGAAACUGGUAUGUUCUUUGUUUAACUUCUACCUCCCCCCUAUGUGUUUAUUAUACAGUUCAAACUUUGUUUUGCUUACUGUCUAUAUGCUGUAACGUUCUGCAAGCUUUCUUCAUUCAUUGUUUCUGUUCUUGUGGGUGGCUGAGUUAUGGUUCAAAAACAUAGCAUUACCUAAAAGUAUAUCCCAUGAAUAUGAACUGCGCUCUCUGAGUCCUAAGCUCUUUCAAUUCCUAUCCCCAUUUCCCUUUCUAUGUAUGUUGAGUUUUAGAAUUUGGUCUGGCAGUGUCAUAAUCACUGUCCAGGGGAUGGUCUGACCUUCAAUAGGUCUUACUCUUAAUUGUUUGGCUGACAAGAUGGUCAGGGGUGUGCCAGACUACCAUAUGGCUGCGCAUGACCACCAGCUUACCUUGGCACUCCCUAACCUCCUCUAUCACACUUGCACUUAUUCAUAAAAUAUAAGUUCUGCCCCCUCUUGUGAGCCUUGCCUUGGGACCCAUGAGCUCCCUCUGAACUUGGGUACUUGACGGCUGGCCCUUCCCCACUACAAUCUAAUUCAGUUGUAAUUAACAUCUGGGGUGUAAGCACUGGUUGGAGUUCCUAAAACUCUUUGGAACUUUGAAACAUCCUUGGAAAUCUUGAUCCCGGAAGUGGUUCAUAUCAUAUUGUUCGACACUAAGUCUGAAUUAGGCUUCUUGGAUAUAGCUGUAACUUCUGAUGUAUUUUUAGUGUGAUUUAUUGGGGUGUAAUAAUUUGUAAUAAACUUAUGGGGAUUUAUUGAAGUACGAGAGGGGUUUACUUUUACGCACAAGAGUAGAUACCAUGCCUAUAUGAGUUAAUAUCUGAUUUUUUACAUGUACACAUAUAUAUCAUGUC
This 2623-nucleotide long non-coding RNA is filed under the name Nicotiana benthamiana. Its description in RNAcentral is "long non-coding RNA (NBEN_LNC019055)". The record is from RNAcentral. Lineage: Eukaryota; Viridiplantae; Streptophyta; Magnoliopsida; Solanales; Solanaceae.